GACGAACGCUGGCGGCGUGCCUAAUACAUGCAAGUAGAACGCUGAAGGAGGAGCUUGCUUCUCCGGAUGAGUUGCGAACGGGUGAGUAACGCGUAGGUAACCUGCCUGGUAGCGGGGGAUAACUAUUGGAAACGAUAGCUAAUACCGCAUAAGAGUAGAUGUUGCAUGACAUUUGCUUAAAAGGUGCAAUUGCAUCACUACCAGAUGGACCUGCGUUGUAUUAGCUAGUUGGUGAGGUAACGGCUCACCAAGGCGACGAUACAUAGCCGACCUGAGGGGGGGAUCGGCCACACUGGGACUGAGACACGGCCCAGACUCCUACGGGAGGCAGCAGUAGGGAAUCUUCGGCAAUGGACGGAAGUCUGACCGAGCAACGCCGCGUGAGUGAAGAAGGUUUUCGGAUCGUAAAGCUCGGUUGUAAGAGAAGAACGAGUGUGAGAGUGGAAAGUUCACACUGUGACGGUAUCUUACCAGAAAGGGACGGCUAACUACGUG
This 495-nucleotide ribosomal RNA is filed under the name uncultured bacterium. RNAcentral's name for it is "partial 16S ribosomal RNA". It matches the Rfam family "Bacterial small subunit ribosomal RNA", at positions 28 to 507 of the family's 1533-position model. The record is from RNAcentral.